Long non-coding RNA from Condylura cristata (star-nosed mole), 300 nucleotides. RefSeq lists it as uncharacterized. NCBI's taxonomy places the organism in Eukaryota, Metazoa, Chordata, Mammalia, Eulipotyphla, Talpidae. The record is from RefSeq and is a predicted model, not a curated record. The transcript has 3 exons.
AAAGGAGAUGCUGGUAGAUUAAUUCUGAGAUCCCAUUACCUGUCUCCAUGGCACUGCUCACAAUUGCCAAGAUAGAGAACAAGUGCCCCUGUGACAGAUGAGAUGAAUGGAUAUAGAAGAUGUGACAUGUUUAUACACAAUGGGCUACUCAUUCAGCCAUAAACAAUAUGAAAUCUUGCCAUUUGCCACACAUGGAACAUCUUUAAGAAGAUUAUGCUCAGCAAGAUUCAGUUUUUUGUUUAACAAAACAUUUUUCUGGAGACAAGGUGCUGGUUGACGGACAGAGGACUGUUCCCACUG